CUCCCGUGUUCACAGAAAAUUGACUCAUGUUUUAAUCAUUUAUAUCCUUCUAUUGAAAAUGAAUAGUUGAGAUUUUUAUAAAAAUUAAAAACACACAAAAUAACAAUUGCCCAAUGCCAUGACGCAGGGUAAAGCUUCAGGCUCUGUGAAAUGGAUAACCUUACAGAUUGACUGACAGCCUUUGCCAUGUACUUAGAAUCCAUUAGGCACCAUUACGGCAAAUUCAGUUGGAAAAGCAAUGAAAAUUUUACAGUGAUACACAAUGAAUUGCUGUGAUAGUCUAUUGCAAGUUUCAACUGAUACAGCUGACAAUGCUUUAACAAAAUGCUUCCUCAUACAUCAUGCCUUGAAUUCUGAUGUGCUGGUAGAUCUGACUGCCAUUGUUGUGAAUUCUGCCGUGAUGGUAUAUCUGACACUUGGUCAAGUUGCUGCCGAAGAUGCAUAUCUUCAUCCUGAUUGUCUACUUCUGUGCUACUAGAUGGUUUAGCACCAGAAGUAAUUACGUUUUUAAACCAAGUUGCUUGAAAUCUAGGGCUUCCUCUACUUGAAUUGCCAGGUGAAUCAGGGGCAGGCCCAUUAUUGGAAGCGACACCUACGAGGAAACGAUAUGCCACUUUGCUAGCUGAUACAAUCUCUGCCUUGGCUUGUCUAAACUGCAAUAUACCCGCUCACACAUCAGAAGAAAAGAUGAUCACACUGAAUAAUAUCAAAAGCCUGAUAAGGAUUCAGUCAUAAAAAAAUUAAACUUCUGUCAUCACAUGCCAUAUAUCUAAUCUAACAAUCCACAUUUCAGGCCAAUUUGAGAUGGCACUAAUGAGGCAUGGCAGGUUAAAAUUCAAAAGAAGCACACCAAAGGAGAAACAAAUUAAUGCACCCACCAUAUGCAAGCUCAAACAGAGAACAAUAAGUGAAUUUCAGAUUGCAUGUAUAGUUUCUGUGAUUAUAGGAAGAAGUUACACUGUGUGUUUGAUAACCAUAAGUCUAAUUUAUAUCUUCAGAGAUUUCCAAGGAAAAAAUUACUAAAUAAUUAAAAGAAAAGCUAAAAGUAGAACACAUCAAGAUAGUAUUGUAUGCUAGACAAAUCGCAUUAAGGUAACCAGCUACUCGACCCAGUUUGGCUUUGAGAUGCACAAAUUCAAGGGCAUCAAAUCGCAGCUUCACCAAGAAACUUAUUUGUCCAACUUUUGUGCACAAUUGCUGUUUUGAUGUCUAGGAUUUUAAGCACAGCUGGUGCACAGCAAUGCCAAACUAGCACAAUUAUGCUACAUUACAUUAUGGUCAACCUAACAUAGCCUUAGUGUCUUUGAAUGUAUAAAAGCAAAUUGGGUUUCUACGUUUCCAGAAGUUCACCAAGCUAACAUGUGAAAGAAACUAUUUACUUGUUCCUCAAUAGCAUAAACGGGGUAUAUAACAAGACGAUGCUGGCCAAAUACACGAAUAAGAAAUUGCACAUCAUCUCACCCGUAAUGCUGUAUUUCCCGCAACUUCCAAGGCUGCAUCACCAGCAUUUGCAAAACGAUUAACCCAACCUGGAAGUUUUGGCACACCAAGCCUUUCACAGAAUUCAUCACAGAAGUGAUUGCAGUUCUUGGAUAGCAAGUCAUAUGAACUUCCAGGCCAUUCUCUACUCAGUUCCCGCAAUAUCUGAUUCACCUUAAAGAUAGAAAAGUUAGUUCUUCCUAGUACAAUGCUCUCACGAUAUGUAUACAUUGGGUUCUUUCCAGAAGGGCAACUAAAAACUCCAGUUCCAUGUUCGCAAAACCCAAAAGACCAUUCAUCAUCUCCAUACACCUGUCACAUACAGUUCAGACAAAUUUAUCGAAGGCUAAAUGCAACAUAACUUGAUGAUAAAAGAAUUUUGAAAGAACAAAUUGAGAACGAGAAAAAAAAACAUUAUGAAUUACCAAGAGAAAGUAAAAGGGGAUAAUGUAGUGAAACAUAGAGGCCCUGUGUACAUGUAAUGUUAGGGCAUGCAAGUUAAAACAAGUAUAGAUGAAUGCGACAAAGAGAAGUCCAAGCAACAUUUUAUCAAGCGAUAUGCCACAUCAGCAAACAAGAUGUCCAUAUGUUCAAAUCAAACAUAACUCAAGGUUCCACACCUUAAAACACCAGCAGGUCUGACCAAUGUCCAUUAAAAAUAUUUACCCCCAGUCCAGAAAAAGAAAUGGAUUUCCACUGCAAUGGCUUCACCAGAUACUUGAAAAUUGAAACCAGAAAGCCAUUUGGUUGAAGGACAAACAAUUCAGCAAAGCAGGUCAGAAAGAGAGUAGCAAAAGACAUUACUUAAGAAAUAAUGUUGCAAGAUUGACACUAAGCUGAAGUUUUAUAUAAUUUUCUGAGAAAUACAUAGCUGUACCUUAAAAUGCUAAGUCAGUGACAGCUUGUUCAUGUAAAAUGAAAGCAUGAACACAAUAUAGAUGACAAUUGAACUAUAACAAGUGCAAAAAGUACAGAUGUACUAUACAAGGAAAAACAAGAAAAGGUAAUAAGCAAGACUCACUGUUACUGCUACAAUCAAAAACCAAUUAUAUAGGAACAGGGAGAGAAUAGUGAAACCUUCUCUUUUUAAAGAAGUUUGAGAGUUUCACACCCUUAGCAUCUUCGCCAAAAAGGAAAGCAGUAGCAUACCAAAACAAAACAAAGUAACAAGCAUAAAACCAGAAGUCAAACAUUUGAAAAAAUUCAGUUGGCGAUUCCAUGGUCUGCAAGUUUCUUAUGCAAAAGAAACGCUCUAGUUCUUGAAGAUAUAUCUAUAAUACCUACUCAAAAUUUAUCAGGCACAUAGUUCUCCAAUAAAACCCAUCGAAUACACACUAGCUCUUACAAAGUUUCCACCUAUGGGCCCGGUACUGUUCCUCUUAAUUGACAAUAAGGAUUACAUAUGACUGCGAGAAUUUAAUGAAUAACGACUCGUACGAACACAAACCAAAACCUCAGAUCUCACCUGCAGCAGAAGAAUAUUCCAUAACUAAUACAAUCAAAUCAACACAAGCAUGUCCCCGCAUAAAAACUCGUUUCUCCAGAAUCAUAUCAGUUAAUUAAAUAAAAAACCCUAGAUCCCAUCCACAGUGACUCCAUUGCAUAGGUACAUCAACAAAUCAACACAUAUAGAGAGAGAAAGAGCGACAGAGAGAAGAGAAAGAACCUGCACAGCGCUGUGGAAGAUGCCACCAAAGCCAAUACCGUCCUUGAAAAUCUUGUUGAUCUGCAUAAUGGUGUUGUUGGUCUUCUCCGAUCCACUAUUCGUCACAUCGUAUAUAUGCAAUAUCACAUCCGUCAUCUUUAUCAACAAAGCUCUAACCCUAACCCUAACUUCAAACUUCCUAUCCCCUCUCUCUCGGCCCUCUUUAUAAUAUCCGAUUCACACAGAAACUUGUCACAGUCUUUCCUCUUUCUGUCUCCUUCGCUUUUAAAUCUCUCCCUCUCCUCCCUCUCUCUCUCCGUUCAAUUAGAGGAACAGAGAAUUUCCACAUUCAAUUUUCGCUCUCACUGAGAUUUAAUUUGAAUACGACACUUUUUCUGUUUUUGCCUGGAAGUGAAUAUUCAGAGUUCGUAGAUAUUCUCUUUUUCCUCGAGUCGGUGGCUUUGUUU
Molecule: unclassified non-coding RNA, 3591 nt
Filed under: Hevea brasiliensis (rubber tree)
Lineage: Eukaryota; Viridiplantae; Streptophyta; Magnoliopsida; Malpighiales; Euphorbiaceae
Source: RNAcentral